AAUCACAAGAACAGGAAAAUGAGCAUCCUUCCAUUAGAAUCGCAGUCCGAAGACGACACUUCAGCAACUGUUACUGCAUUUGGCUUUGACCGGGUCAAAGGAAUUGAGCCCAUCCUCUCCUGCCUGACAAGUACCAUAUUAUCUGAAGCCCCAAAUACCCAGUGCUGGUAAGUAGACAAUCGCUUUAUCUUGUUUUUCUGUUCUUGUUUUUUCCUUUCCCCCCAAGGUUUUCCCUCUGAAAACUGCAUUUUACUGCGCUGAUACUGUAGCCUCUAAGCCAGGUAUGACUGAGACAAAAGACUGUUAAAUAAUUGUCAAUAAGUGUACUGAUUAUAGUCACCUUUAAGCUCUAGAAUAAGAAACAUAUUCCUUUGCUUAAGUAUAGGGACUUUCUAUACCUAUAUCUUUAUGAUGUUCAAAAAAAAACUCAAAAAAAGAAGUAGCAUUUUUACUGAACAAUAUGAUAAUCUCAACUUAGAAUUAAUAGAAUUAUAGUUUCUGUACCAACUUGAGAGCUGAAAAUAUAUUCAGGAAGUCAAAAUAUUCUUUAAACUCUCUUAUUUGAAUCAACAAACCUCAAGACUUUGGUAUUUAAAAUGAAAAUUUCUGAUAUAUCCCAACAAUAAUUCUCAUUUACAAAAAAAGCAUUAUCCUAGCACCGUUUCACUUGCUAUUGAAUCAUCACACUGAAACAGUAAUAAUAGAAAAGACAGGAUAAAAAGUCAUCUAUUCUUGUGAAUGCAAGUGACAGAACAUCUCCUACUUUGAUCUCUUGUGAUAUUCAAAUGUUAGCUGGGAGAGAGAAACCACAAAGGAGAGUUUGAUUUAUUUGGCUAAACUACAGUGAUUUGCAAGGCCUGUUUCAAACACACAGCAUCAACAUCAGCAGCAGCAACGUUCUACCUACAGACACGAGCUUGACCUUUGCCUUUGUAAAUGCCAAAGAUGGUAAAAAUCGACAGUCCUUCGAUUCUAGGAAUUUGAACUUUGAAAUCAAGGGUAGCUUCAGCUCUCAGUUUAAAUAAAUAUUAGGGAGAUGUACAAGCAUAGACACCAGUGAUGAAGUGGUUACUUCAAGAUCUUUCUACGAUGUUCUUGAAUUUAUAUUAUCUGGGCUUGUUUGUUUACCUAGUCGUGCUACAUAGAGUUUGGUCCAUUUUGGGCUUAUCCUAAUGUUGGCCAUUUACCACUGGAGAUUCAGCUGUAACACAUACUUGGAGAGAAUUCUGGAUAAGUAGUUAAGGAUAUCCCAAUGAUACUAGGUCUUCUAAUCAUUUCUUAGGAUUCUCUACUUCUUUGCAGUAAGUACCACAGCUGUAAUCGUACAUCUAUGUAUUUCUUAUUUAUUAAGUGUAUGUUUCUAUAACACCAUAAAUCCUAUGAAACCAGAGGCUAUAUCUGUGUCUGUAUAUUAACUGCCUAGAAGUAUAGCAUAAAAUAAGUGUAAAAUAAACAUCUGUUGAAUAAGUGAAUGAAAGAGGCAAUUCCAAGAGGCUCCCUCCCAGUUCUUUACAAAUUCAUGUGAUUUUUACAGCAGGUUAAGUGGGAGGUAUAGAGUAAAUCAAUGUCUCCUCAAUUUACCUGUUUUUGAAAAUACAGAUUAUCAGAACUU
Molecule: long non-coding RNA, 1612 nt
Filed under: Sus scrofa (pig)
Lineage: Eukaryota; Metazoa; Chordata; Mammalia; Artiodactyla; Suidae
Description: lncRNA (ENSSSCG00060049381.1)
Source: RNAcentral